Molecule: long non-coding RNA, 689 nt
Filed under: Ficedula albicollis (Collared flycatcher)
Lineage: Eukaryota; Metazoa; Chordata; Aves; Passeriformes; Muscicapidae
Description: lncRNA (ENSFALG00000025105.1)
Source: RNAcentral
CUUUGAUUUAUAUCUUCUAUAUUUUCUUUUUUGGACUAGCUAGUACCAUCAAACCCUUGCCUGCCUUGGCUCUGAAUGCAGCAGUCUCUUUCCAGGGUAAUUCCAGGAUGGCUUGUCCUACAUCAUCUCAGAGAGGCUGCAGCUCUCCUUCUGUCUUGCCUGGUUACAAGUGAGUCUAACAGCUUUCCAAAAUCCCAGAUCUGUUGGAGAUUUUACCCAUUCCUUCCUUGGAAGUUGAGGAUCCCAAGCAUUUUCCCAAACUGAUUGAUGCUAUCCCUCAUAAAUCCAGGGAAAAAGAGUCAAGCAAAUGGCAGUGGGAUGGAUCAAAGCAAAUGCUCUGGGCUACACCUUGCUCUUGAGAGAUGCUCUGGGGACAAAGAUGUCUGUUGGUACCUCAUCACAAUGGUAAUGCUCUAGGUUGCAGUGGUAAGUUGACAGAUUGCUAUUUAUGUAAAUAUUUUCUGCUGAAAAGCAAAAUUCAAGGAGCAGCUCUGAUAUUUUAACUUAUUUUUGUGGGAACAUGGCCAGCAUUGCCCAUAAUUCAUACUGUGGUAUGACUAGGACUCUGGUAUGUCACACAGCAUUUCAAAACUGAGACUGACAACUUCUAAAAUUAAGUUUAGUUAUGCAUGUGUUUUGUUAACCAUAUUAUGUACUUACAGCAGCUUUUUAUAACUGAGGAACAAGAU